CAAGUCGAGCGGUAACAGAUCUAGCUUGCUAGAUGCUGACGAGCGGCGGACGGGUGAGUAAUGCAUAGGAAUCUACCCGGUAGUGGGGGAUAACCUGGGGAAACCCAGGCUAAUACCGCAUACGUCCUACGGGAGAAAGGGGGCUCCGGCUCCCGCUAUCGGAUGAGCCUAUGUCGGAUUAGCUAGUUGGUGAGGUAAUGGCUCACCAAGGCAACGAUCCGUAGCUGGUCUGAGAGGAUGAUCAGCCACAUCGGGACUGAGACACGGCCCGAACUCCUACGGGAGGCAGCAGUGGGGAAUAUUGGACAAUGGGGGCAACCCUGAUCCAGCCAUGCCGCGUGUGUGAAGAAGGCCCUCGGGUUGUAAAGCACUUUCAGCGAGGAAGAACGCCUAGUGGUUAAUACCCAUUAGGAAAGACAUCACUCGCAGAAGAAGCACCGGCUAACUCCGUGCCAGCAGCCGCGGUAAUACGGAGGGUGCAAGCGUUAAUCGGAAUUACUGGGCGUAAAGCGCGCGUAGGUGGCUUGAUAAGCCGGUUGUGAAAGCCCCGGGCUCAACCUGGGAACGGCAUCCGGAACUGUCAAGCUAGAGUGCAGGAGAGGAAGGUAGAAUUCCCGGUGUAGCGGUGAAAUGCGUAGAGAUCGGGAGGAAUACCAGUGGCGAAGGCGGCCUUCUGGACUGACACUGACACUGAGGUGCGAAAGCGUGGGUAGCAAACAGGAUUAGAUACCCUGGUAGUCCACGCCGUAAACGAUGUCGACCAGCCGUUGGGUGCCUAGCGCACUUUGUGGCGAAGUUAACGCGAUAAGUCGACCGCCUGGGGAGUACGGCCGCAAGGUUAAAACUCAAAUGAAUUGACGGGGGCCCGCACAAGCGGUGG
This 880-nucleotide ribosomal RNA is filed under the name Halovibrio variabilis. RNAcentral's name for it is "bacterial SSU rRNA". It matches the Rfam family "Bacterial small subunit ribosomal RNA", at positions 58 to 935 of the family's 1533-position model. The record is from RNAcentral. Lineage: Bacteria; Pseudomonadati; Pseudomonadota; Gammaproteobacteria; Oceanospirillales; Halomonadaceae.